RNAcentral lists this long non-coding RNA (371 nucleotides) under Mytilus galloprovincialis (Mediterranean mussel). Lineage: Eukaryota; Metazoa; Mollusca; Bivalvia; Mytilida; Mytilidae. The record is from RNAcentral.
GUCAGUUGACCCCUUUAGAAGUUAUUGACCUUUAUAGUCAAUUUUUAACCAUUUUUCGUAAAUCUUAGAAAUCUUUUACAAAAAUCUUCUCCUAUGAAACUACUGGGCCAAAUUAAUCCAAACUUGGCCACAAUCAUCUUUGGGGUAUCUAAUUGAAAAAAAUGUGUCCGGUGACCUGGCCAUCCAACCAAAAUGGCUGCCACGGCUAAAAAUAGAACAUAGGGGUAAAAUGCAGUUUUUGGCUUAUAACUCAAAAACCGAAGCAUUUAGAGAAAAAUCUGACAGGGUUAAAUUGUCUAUCAGGUCAAGAUCUAUCUGCCCUGAUAUUUUCAGACAAAACAGACACCCUGUUGUUGGGUUGCUGCCCCAGA